RNAcentral lists this transfer RNA (66 nucleotides) under Canis lupus familiaris (dog). The record is from Rfam by way of RNAcentral. RNAcentral also lists the same sequence under 2 other names. Lineage: Eukaryota; Metazoa; Chordata; Mammalia; Carnivora; Canidae.
UCCUAGGUGGCUCAGUUGGUUGAGCAUCUGACUUUGGCUCAGGUUGUGAUCCUGGGGUCCUGGGAU